Bos taurus (domestic cattle) is the source of this 72-nucleotide non-coding RNA. NCBI's taxonomy places the organism in Eukaryota, Metazoa, Chordata, Mammalia, Artiodactyla, Bovidae. The record is from Rfam.
UCCCUGAUAGCUCAGUUGGUAAAGAAUCUGCCUGCAAUGCAGGAGACCCUGGUUCGAUUCCUGGGUUGGAAA